Molecule: long non-coding RNA, 637 nt
Filed under: Jatropha curcas
Lineage: Eukaryota; Viridiplantae; Streptophyta; Magnoliopsida; Malpighiales; Euphorbiaceae
Description: long non-coding RNA (JCUR_LNC001734)
Source: RNAcentral
CUCCACCACUGUGAGUAAUAAUAAAUAAUGCAUGUCAACACUGCAUUUGCAUAACAUUACAUUUUUAUAUAUUUACAUAUUGUAUUUUCUCAUAUAUAUUAUGUUAUGAUCACUAUAAUUAUACUUAUGCAUAAUUGUGCAUUUGGAUGAAAUUGGUGUAUUAUGAUAAAUGAAUUGUUUGAUUAUUUGUGCUGUGUAUAUACUGUGCUCUGUUUGUGUGGAGUUGGGAUGAAGUGGGUCACCAUGGGUUUGUGAGGACGGUCGAUAAAUAUGGAUCCUGAUGAACUGAUGAAAUUGGACCGUCGGCCGGGUAAAUGGGAGAUCGGCGCCCCCGUGUGCACCUGAUGAAUUGAUGAAAUGAUGUUGAUGAGAUGGAAAAGAAAAGAGAGAAUGUAAAAAAAUAAAAUAUUGAGAGGACUGGUCAAGUGAGGAUUAGACCGGUCGGCCAGAUAUGGGGGAUUGGCUCCCCGGGUGCACAUGUUUGAGAGGAUGGGCUGUUUGAGAGGACGGCUCGUCGGGGGGUUUAGGUGACACCACUGACUAAUUUCCACGUGAUGUGAUUAUUUGAAGGUGAUAUUGUUUGUGGGUGCUGAUGUAAUGUCAUAUGAUUGACUGUUGUGUGUUCAUUCAGUANNNN